AGGUCAGCGACUGGGGUGAAGUCGUAACAAGGUAGCCGUAGGGGAACCUGCGGCUGGAUCACCUCCUUU
This 69-nucleotide ribosomal RNA is filed under the name Thalassospira sp. RNAcentral describes it as "partial 16S ribosomal RNA". It matches the Rfam family "Bacterial small subunit ribosomal RNA", at positions 1465 to 1533 of the family's 1533-position model. Lineage: Bacteria; Pseudomonadati; Pseudomonadota; Alphaproteobacteria; Rhodospirillales; Thalassospiraceae. RNAcentral also lists the same sequence under 1 other name. The record is from RNAcentral.